GACGAAGGUGGCUAGCGUUGCUCGGAUUUACCGGGCAUAAAGCGCGCGUAGGUGGUCCUGUAAGCGGGGGAUGAAAGCCCAUGGCUCACCCAUGGAACUGUCCCUCGGACUGCAGGGCUGGAGGGCGGGAGGGGAGAAUGGAAUUCCCGGUGUAGCGGUGAAAUGCGUAGAUAUCUGGAGGAACACCGGUGGCGAAGGCGACAUCCUGGACCGGUAUUGACGCUGAGGCGCGAAAGCCAGGGGAGCAAACGGG
This 253-nucleotide ribosomal RNA is filed under the name uncultured bacterium. Its description in RNAcentral is "partial 16S ribosomal RNA". It matches the Rfam family "Bacterial small subunit ribosomal RNA", at positions 524 to 776 of the family's 1533-position model. The record is from RNAcentral.